This 462-nucleotide ribosomal RNA is filed under the name uncultured bacterium. Its description in RNAcentral is "partial 16S ribosomal RNA". It matches the Rfam family "Bacterial small subunit ribosomal RNA", at positions 28 to 507 of the family's 1533-position model. The record is from RNAcentral.
GACGAACGCUGGCGGCGUGCUUAACACAUGCAAGUCGAGCGGCAAGGCCUUUCGGGGUACACGAGCGGCGAACGGGUGAGUAACACGUGGGUGAUCUGCCCUGCACUUCGGGAUAAGCCUGGGAAACUGGGUCUAAUACCGGAUAUGACCUCCUAUCGCAUGGUGGGUGGUGGAAAGAUUUAUCGGUGCAGGAUGGGCCCGCGGCCUAUCAGCUUGUUGGUGGGGUAAUGGCCUACCAAGGCGACGACGGGUAGCCGACCUGAGAGGGUGACCGGCCACACUGGGACUGAGACACGGCCCAGACUCCUACGGGAGGCAGCAGUGGGGAAUAUUGCACAAUGGGCGAAAGCCUGAUGCAGCGACGCCGCGUGAGGGAUGACGGCCUUCGGGUUGUAAACCUCUUUCAGCAGGGACGAAGCGCAAGUGACGGUACCUGCAGAAGAAGCACCGGCUAACUACGUG